CCAAUAGCGUAUAUUAAAGUUGUUGCAGUUAAAAAGCUCGUAGUUGAAUUUCGGGAUUAGUACGCUGGUCGUGCCUUCGGUACGUACUGGUGUUACUGAUUCCUACCUUCUGACGAACCAUCAUGUCAUUAAUUUGGUGUGGCGGGGAAUCAGGACUGUUACUUUGAAAAAAUUAGAGUGUUUAAAGCAGGCGCGCGCUGGAAUACAUUAGCAGGGAAUAAUGAAAUAGGACGUUGAUCCUAUUUUGUUGGCUUCUAGGAUUGACGUAAUGAUUAAUAGGGAUAGUUGGGGGCAUUAGUAUUCAAUUGUCAGAGGUGAAAUUCUUGGAUUUAUUGAAGACUAACUACUGCGAAAGCAUUUGCCAAGGAUGUUUUCAUUAAUCAAGAACGAAAGUUAGGGGAUCGAAGACGAUCAGAUACCGUCGUAGUCUUAACCAUAAACUAUGCCGACUAGGGAUCAGAUGAUGUUAUUUUUAAUGACUCAUUCGGCGCCUUACG
RNAcentral lists this ribosomal RNA (497 nucleotides) under uncultured Glomeromycotina. Its description in RNAcentral is "partial small subunit ribosomal RNA". It matches the Rfam family "Eukaryotic small subunit ribosomal RNA", at positions 591 to 1092 of the family's 1831-position model. Lineage: Eukaryota; Fungi; Glomeromycota. The record is from RNAcentral.